Salvia miltiorrhiza (redroot sage) is the source of this 549-nucleotide long non-coding RNA. RefSeq lists it as uncharacterized. The record is from RefSeq and is a predicted model, not a curated record. NCBI's taxonomy places the organism in Eukaryota, Viridiplantae, Streptophyta, Magnoliopsida, Lamiales, Lamiaceae. The transcript has 3 exons.
ACCCAACACACACUAAUCUCCUUCAUCUCUCAUUUCCACCAUUUUCCUCCAUUGAUGAAAACCUUCGAAGCUUCCAACAAUAUUACCAAACACCUCAAACCACUCUAAUAUCUUCUAUAAACACAUUCUAGCCACUUUUAAUCAAGAGAAUCCUUGAAGAAGAAGCUCCAAAGUUAGAGUGAGAAAGUGAGAAUUUUGGUGAGAAUUUGGACCGAGCGAGACGAAGAAGUAAGUCGCCUGUUUUCUUUCCGAAACUAGCGAAGGACUUCAGGCUAAGCGAGGAGUGAGAUUGGUCUGGUGCUGGUGGAGGAACGUUUCAAUCGUUUUGAUCAUAUUUAAUAUUGCCUUUAUGUUAAUUAGAGUUUGAUGUUUGAGAUACUUAGUUUUCUUUUGAAACCAGCCAAUACACUCACGGUUAUGUGUCUUCAUACAUAUAAUCGGUUCGCCUUUUGCUGCGAUACUCUGCUUAUUAUUCUUCCUUAUGAAAAAUGAGCAAUACCUGUUUUGUUUUUGAUCGUGAAAUUCCUGAUAAUUAAAAAGUUAUAACGA